Non-coding RNA from Podarcis lilfordi (Lilford's wall lizard), 4416 nucleotides. Lineage: Eukaryota; Metazoa; Chordata; Lepidosauria; Squamata; Lacertidae. The record is from the annotation of a GenBank genome assembly.
CAGUUGCUAAAUAAAUUCUAGGUGUAAAAUGUUGGAAGUAUUUAUUAUUUAGGAGGCACAUUAUUUCAGCUGGCCAAUUGUCAAAUCAAGUUUUCACCUUCAUGGAAAAUUCUGCUUCCCAUGAGGAAGGUAUUGUCAACCGGGAUUGGGGAAGGCUCCUCUUUCUGAAGCCAUGGCAAACCACUGACAGCUGCAGUAGACAAUACCAAGCUGAACAGACCAUUUUGAUUCAUUUAUAAGACUUGUUUCUAUGUUCAUAAUCAAGCCAGAAAGAUGUCAGGCAAGCUAGUAACUCUCACGUGAUUUCCCCCUCCCCUACUCCCCAAAUUCCAAAUGUACUAAACAGAGACGAGCUGACAGUUGUUAAAACAACAUAUUGUUCUGGAGCAGUAUUAAGUCUUCAAUCUGACCUAUACGGGCUGCCAGUUUCUGGCAUGAUAAUGUUUGAACCUACCUGCAUGUCACCCAGGCUAUUAAUGGGAGAACCCCAAUAGUGGUCAUUUGUUUUUUCUGUUUUUACUUUUUUGUAGCUUUAUUCCUAGAGGAAAGGUAGAAAAGUUGUGUGUGAUCAGCUUUAAGAACUGCCAGAGCUGCAGAAUCCCUGUUCACACUGAGGUUCGGGGUAGUGCCAUUAUGCAUCUAGACAUUGGUUCUUAUUUGACCAAAUCAACUGGAGAGAGCCAAACUUGAAGAGGAGUACAAAAGAUGCUUGAGACGAGGUCUACAAGCAUUUCUGCCAGAACGUUUUACUUGCUUCCAGUGUGAUUUCCAUUAAUUUACCUUGUUCAUAGGCUAAAAGGCACCUUAGGCAUGAAGAGCACAGCAUGCUCUUCAGCCGCAUUGUAGAGCCAGUUCGUCAUUCAAGAAAAUGAAAAGAUCACCUUAAGCUGCUGCUUUGAAGUUUCACUGAUGUGUUUUCCCCCUAACACAUUUCCUCCCACGUGGAAAAAGCUUGCCAAAAGCAAUCCCAGGAGAGUAAAAUAUGAUUUGGCUAACUGAGAUGCAUCUGACUGUCAGAGAUUGUCAGCAGAUCAAAUGGUAGGCAGGUCAGGUUGUUUUUCCACAGAAAUUUUGCUUUAAGAAGCCAUGUUUUCCAGCUUAAUUAUGCUAUUCAUUUAUUUCAAUGGUAAUAUCUAGGGGAGAUGUUAGUAUGGUUGUAAUUUUUUCUUGUUUUAUCUUUUUGUAAACUGGACCAUAGAAACUGAGCACAUGAUUGAAAAACUACACUGAGGAUUAUUAUAAUCUCCUGUAGUGAAAUAGGUGAAAAUUUUAUUAAGACCAAGUGUGCAGUACUUAGUAUGUUGAUAUAAGUACACCAGCUUUUCUGAGUCAAUACACCAUUUAUACUUUACAUGGUCUGGUUUCAAUAAUAAGAUUAUAAUUAUUCCUAUUUUGUAUGCCUUAUGGAUGCCCUGGUGACCUUUCCCCCUCGCUGAAUCUGUUCUUUUGACUACAUUGACCUGAAGGCCUCUUGAAAAAAACAACUUUGUGACACACACACCAGUUCUUAUGACUUUCCUACGCAUAUUUGGGAUUUCAUCCUCAGCUCCAGAAAUUGCCACCGGCUAUCUAUGAUAUUUUGCUUGCUGUGGAAAUAAAUGUUUCUCUGUGUGGUUCAUUAUUUCAUUCCUUUAACAGCUUGAUCAGCUCUUUCAAAGCAGAUCGCUUUAUUUACAGCCUUCUGAUUUUCCAGGAUUCAGCAGUACUUAGGUCAAAUUUUGUACCAUCCAAAGAACCCUUGGUUAUAGGUCUCAGGUUAUUUUUGUUUUGUCUUUGUUCCACUUUAAAUGAAGGUUUCUAGGUGGUUGGAAUCAUACAGAAAAAAAAAGAAAUGCAUAAAAUCCAUGAUAGAAAUUAGUCAAAAUAUCAGAAAAAUAUAUAACAAUGAACAAAAUAAAAUACUGGAGAGGAAAAGAAAAUCAAGCAGAGGUCAGGCCACUGACAAUUAAACCAUGCUGAGAAUAAUAGCUCUGUGAGAGGAAUAGGGGUCUCCUAACAAUUCUCAGUACCUUUAACAAAUUGCAGUUUGCAGGAUUAUUUGGAUUAAAGUGGUAUAAUACUGAUUUAAACAUAUAGUGCAGAUGGGUCCUAUGCCUAUUUAUGUUUUGUGCUUUGGAGGGUGGAAAUUCUGUGACCUCUGUUGAUCUUCAUAGAAUUGUAGAGUUGGAAAGGGCCAUCUAGUCCAACCCCCUGCAAUUCAGGAAUAUUUUUGCCCAAUGUGGGACUAGUGUCAGCGGUGCUUUUUUUCUGGGGGGACGCAGUGGUAUGCAUACCCCUAAACAUUUUGUGAAUCUAAGUUUGGCCUCACUGAUGGGCAGUAUUUCAAUAUGAGUAGGAAAAUGAGAGUACUCCUAAACAAUUUUUUUAAAGAAAAAAAAGCAUUGGGUGUCAAUAUGAAACUGUCAAAAUCUGAGGUGUUGUGCAGGACUGUUUAGCAGUAGCUGAUUGGUGACAAGUUCUGAAACGGGAGAGAGAGACUAUUGUUUUUAAUGGGUCUUUAGACAGUUCUUGGAUCAGGUAAAUUCAUUUUGAUUGCUCUGGGAAACGGCAGACUGAUAAACUGGAGGUUCUGGUUAGUGAAGAAUGGGCACUUAGCUGUCAAGAAAAAUAACUACCAGUUGGGAAAAGGCAUUGGGAAAAUCAGUUGAUGAAGGAGGUGUGAGGCAAAGGCUAGAGAGCUGCAGUCAAGGUGGAUAGCAGAGAGGGUAUUCAUCCUUGGUGUGUAAACAAUAUAUUGCUAGUGAAGAUCAGAGGAAGGGUUGGACCAAGAGUCUGCCCUGUGUAAAGGUCUUAACAGAAGAAUGUUACACAAGUGGGGGGUUGUUGUUUUAAAAAAGUUAGCUAAAGUGUCCAAGCGGCCAGCAGUAAUAUUGAAUCAGAGUUGGAAGGUACCGAAGGGCCAUCUUGUCUCACCCCCUGCAAUGCAGGAAUCUCUUCUAAAGCAUUCAUGACAAAUGACCAUCAAGCCUCUGCUUAAAAACCUCCAAGGAACUUCAGAGGGAGUCUGUUCUGCUGUCAAACAACUGGAGGAGCCUCGAGACUGUCGCUGUCAGAGGAUUAAACUUCCAUUGGUUAAAUCAUCAAACCCCCCUUGGAAGCAGGAGAAGAGGGGGGAAACUUAAGAUUGUGUAAGCCUGCAGGAGAGAGUGAAGAAAGUCAAAUUACCACCGCUCUGAACCUGGAAACGGACUGCUAGCAAGAUUGAAGUUUCGGAUAUGCUCAUUGACUGUGAAUAGAUCGUCUGCUGACAGUAAGUUAAAGAAGAGAAAUACAUUGUUUCCAUUGUCUCCUUCUGCGUUUAAAAAGGAGUAAAAGUAACUGAAAAUUGAAACUAAUUUUAUUGUUUGAACUGUGCUUAAAAGGAUUGAUACAAAUAGAAAUUGUUUCCCCUAGAGGAAGCCUUUGAAAUUGUUACAAGAGCUGAGCUGGGGAAUUUUCCAUCUGCAAGAUAAAACUGUGAGAAUCUGGGAUUGACCUUGAAUCGUUAAGAAUGUUGACAGGAGAAGCCUUAGUGGUUGCAUUUUGUAAGAUUAAUGAUUCACUGGAACAGCUUUAUAAGAAGACGGAUGCGAGGACUAUAAAAACUGAUAACUUGGAACAAAAAGUGACUAAUUUGGCACAAAAAGUCAAUAUUAAUACAGAAAUUAUUCAGGAAUCGAUACAGGGAUCUAUUUUGACAUGGCAAAUCGAGGAGAAGGGGGGGGGAGAAAGUUUUUGUUGUGGAACCUAAAGUGGUACAAGUGGUGAGGGAGAGAGCCCCAGCUUUACAGUUGCAAUUUGAUGAUUAUAAGUUGAUGCCUUCCAAGACUGAAUUUAGAGAAAGUCAGACUUUUAGGAUUGGAGCCCCGCUUGGAUUGGAGAAAGAAAGUUGGAUAGAUCCCCUCAUGCAGGGGUUUAUUGACCUUUGGGACCUGGACUUGGGUCAGGAGGAGACUGGAGUUGUGGGGACUGCCAGACUUGGAGGAACUCUGAAACACGACUGGAAAUAUAUUUUGAAUUUCAGUUCCAACUAUGGAGAUUUGGCUGACUUGUCGAAAAGGAAUAACAACAUUGCUAGAUGGGAAUUUCCCGGAGAUCUACUUUUCAGCAUCAAAGGAAGGAAAAUAAGAACAAGAUCAGGAGAAGACAAAGUAAAGUGCGUGUAUAAACAUGAAGAAGACUUGCAGAAGGGACCUGGAAAAGAGUUAAGAGCCUCGGACAGAAGAUCACCAGGUUGAUGGGCUUUAUGGAAUUGACGGAAAUGACUGGCAGAACCUGAGACCAGGGAGAUGAGAUGGUGGAAGAAUAUUGGAAAAAGUUUAAAAUUUAUAUAUGGAAAUAAUGUAAAAUUAAUGAGUGUUAGAAAAAUGUUGGAAGGGAAUUAUACGGCUUUAGUAGAAAUAUUUUAAGGAAUUAAGUAUAAAUUAGUAUUAAUGG